CCUACGGGCGGCAGCAGUGAGGAAUAUUGGUCAAUGGACGCGAGUCUGAACCAGCCAAGUAGCGUGAAGGAUGACUGCCCUAUGGGUUGUAAACUUCUUUUAUAUGGGAAUAAAAUGUUCCACGUGUGGGAUUUUGUAUGUACCAUAUGAAUAAGGAUCGGCUAACUCCGUGCCAGCAGCCGCGGUAAUACGGAGGAUCCGAGCGUUAUCCGGAUUUAUUGGGUUUAAGGGGAGCGUAGGUGGAUUGUUAAGUCAGUUGUGAAAGUUUGCGGCUCAACCGUAAAAUUGCAGUUGAUACUGGCAGUCUUGAGUACAGUAGAGGUGGGCGGAAGUCGUGGUGUAGCGGUGAAAUGCUUAGAUAUCACGAAGAACUCCGAUUGCGAAGGCAGUUCACUGGACUGCAACUGACACUGAGGCUCGAAAGUGUGGGUAUCAAACAGGAUUAGAUACCCUGGUAGUC
Molecule: ribosomal RNA, 460 nt
Filed under: uncultured bacterium
Lineage: Bacteria
Description: partial 16S ribosomal RNA
Rfam family: Bacterial small subunit ribosomal RNA
Source: RNAcentral